Molecule: ribosomal RNA, 709 nt
Filed under: uncultured bacterium
Lineage: Bacteria
Description: bacterial SSU rRNA
Rfam family: Bacterial small subunit ribosomal RNA
Source: RNAcentral
CAGUCGAACGGGUGGUAGCAAUACCACUAGUGGCGCACGGGUGCGUAACGCGUAACCAACCUACCCGAAUCUGGGGGAUAGCCCGCCGAAAGGCGGAUUAAUACCGCAUAAAACUGCAGCACGGCAUCGUGUAACAGUUAAAGAUUUAUUGGAUUCGGAUGGGGUUGCGUGCCAUUAGCUAGUUGGCGGGGUAACGGCCCACCAAGGCGACGAUGGCUAGGGGAGCUGAGAGGCUGGUCCCCCACACGGGCACUGAGAUACGGGCCCGACUCCUACGGGAGGCAGCAGUAGGGAAUAUUGGGCAAUGGUCGAGAGACUGACCCAGCCAUGCCGCGUGCAGGAUGAAGGCUUUCUGAGUCGUAAACUGCUUUUACCAGGGAAGAAAAAAGGGGAUGCGUCCUCUACUGACGGUACCUGGUGAAUAAGCACCGGCUAACUCCGUGCCAGCGGCCGCGGUAAUACGGAGGGUGCAAGCGUUGUCCGGAUUUAUUGGGUUUAAAGGGUGCGUAGGCGGCUGAUUAAGUCUGGGGUGAAAGCCCGUUGCUCAACAACGGAACUGCCCUGGAAACUGGUUAGCUUGAGUACAGACGAGGGUGGCGGAAUGGAUACUGUAGCGGUGAAAUGCAUAGAUAGUAUCCAGAACCCCGAUUGCGAAGGCAGCUGCCUAGACUGUAACUGACGCUGAGGCACGAAAGCGUGGGGAGCGAAC